GACGAACGCUGGCGGCGUGCUUAACACAUGCAAGUCGAACGGAAAGGCCCUGCUUUUGUGGGGUGCUCGAGUGGCGAACGGGUGAGUAACACGUGAGUAACCUGCCCUUGACUUUGGGAUAACUUCAGGAAACUGGGGCUAAUCCCGGAUAGGAGCUCCUGUUGCAGGGUGGGGGUUGGAAAGUUUGGGCGGUUGGGGAUGGACUGGCGGCUUAUCGGCUUGUUGGUGGGGUAGUGGCUUACCAAGGCUUUGACGGGUAGCCGGCUUGAGAGGGUGACCGGCCACAUUGGGACUGAGAUACGGCCCAGACUCCUACGGGAGGCAGCAGUGGGGAAUAUUGCACAAUGGGCGGAAGCCUGAUGCAGCAACGCCGCGUGCGGGAUGACGGCCUUCGGGUUGUAAACCGCUUUCGCCUGUGACGAAGCGUGAGUGACGGUAAUGGGUAAAGAAGCACCGGCUAACUACGUG
Molecule: ribosomal RNA, 468 nt
Filed under: uncultured bacterium
Lineage: Bacteria
Description: partial 16S ribosomal RNA
Rfam family: Bacterial small subunit ribosomal RNA
Source: RNAcentral